This 468-nucleotide ribosomal RNA is filed under the name uncultured bacterium. RNAcentral describes it as "partial 16S ribosomal RNA". It matches the Rfam family "Bacterial small subunit ribosomal RNA", at positions 28 to 507 of the family's 1533-position model. The record is from RNAcentral.
GACGAACGCUGGCGGCGUGCUUAACACAUGCAAGUCGAACGGAAAGGCCCUGCUUUUGUGGGGUGCUCGAGUGGCGAACGGGUGAGUAACCCGUGAGUAACCUUCCCUUGAAUUUGGGAUAACUUCAGGUAACUGGGGCUAAUAUCGGAUAGGAGCUCCUGCUGCAUGUUGGGGGUUGGAAAGUUUCGGCGGUUGGGGAUGGACUUGCGGCGUAUCCGCUUUGUGGUGCGGUAGUGGCGUACCAAGGCUUUGGCGGGUAUCCGGCCUGAGCGGUUGACCGGCCACAAUGGGACGGAGGUUCAGCCAAGACUCUUACGAGGGACAGUGGAGGGGAAUAUUGCAUUAUGGGCUGACGCCUGAGGCAGCAACAGCGCGGGCGGGAAGACGGCCCUCGCGUUGUAAACCGCGUUCGUCUGUCAUGGAGCGUGAGUGACGGUAAGGGGUAAAGAAACUCCGGCUAACUACGUG